RNAcentral lists this ribosomal RNA (432 nucleotides) under uncultured bacterium. Its description in RNAcentral is "bacterial SSU rRNA". It matches the Rfam family "Bacterial small subunit ribosomal RNA", at positions 504 to 932 of the family's 1533-position model. The record is from RNAcentral.
UGUCCCAGCCGCCGCGGUAAUACGGAGGGUGCAAGCGUUAAUCGGAAUAACUGGGCGUAAAGCGCACGCAGGCGGUUAGAUAAGUCAGAUGUGAAAUCCCCGGGCUCAACCUGGGAGCUGCAUUUGAUACUGGCAGACUAGAGUGCGGUAGAGGAGUAGUGGAAUUCCUCGGUGUAGCAGUGAAAUGCGUAGAGAUCGGGAGGAACAUCAGUUGCGAAGGCGGCUCUCUGGACCAGCACUGACACUGAGGCACGAAAGCGUGGGGAGCAAACAGGAUUAGAUACCCUGGUAGUCCACGCCCUAAACGAUGCGAACUGGACGUUGGGAUCAAUUGAGAUUUCAGCGUCGAAGCUAACGCGUUAAGUUCGCCGCCUGGGGAGUACGGUCGCAAGACUGAAACUCAAAGGAAUUGACGGGGGCCCGCACAAGCGG